AAUACCCGAUAGUCCUCGAAUGCUGGAAUGCGUCGAGGACGAAAGCUCCGGUGCCUAAGGAUGGGUCUGCGGCCUAUCAGGUAGUAGUGGGUGUAGCGUACCUACUAGCCUACGACGGGUACGGGUUGUGAGAGCAAGAGCCCGGAGAUGGAUUCUGAGACACGAAUCCAGGCCCUACGGGGUGCAGCAGGCGCGAAAACUUUACAAUGCUGGCAACAGCGAUAAGGGAACCUCGAGUGCCAGGUUACAAAUCUGGCUGUCGAGAUGCCUAAAAAGCAUUUCAUAGCAAGGGCCGGGCAAGACCGGUGCCAGCCGCCGCGGUAACACCGGCGGCUCGAGUGGUAACCGUUAUUAUUGGGUCUAAAGGGUCUGUAGCCGGCCGGAUAAGUCUCUUGGGAAAUCUGGCAGCUCAACUGUCAGGCUUUCAGGAGAUACUGUCUGGCUCGAGGCCCGGGAGAGGUGAGAGGUACUUCAGGGGUAGGGGUGAAAUCUUGUAAUCCUUGAAAGGACCACCAGUGGCGAAGGCGUCUCACCAGAACGGACCUGACGGCAAGGGACGAAAGCUAGGGGCACGAACCGGAUUAGAUACCCGGGUAGUCCUAGCCGUAAACGAUACUCGCUAGGUGUUCGGCCACGUUGCGACCGUGGUCGGUGCCGUAGGGAAGCCGUGAAGCGAGCCACCUGGGAAGUACGGCCGCAAGGCUGAAACUUAAAGGAAUUGGCGGGGGAGCACCACAACGGGUGGAGCUUGCGGUUUAAUUGGAUUCAACGCCGGAAAUCUUACCGGGACCGACAGCAAUAUGAAGGCCAGGCUGAAGACUUUGCCGGAUUAGCUGAGAGGUGGUGCAUGGCCGUCGUCAGUUCGUACUGUGAAGCAUCCUGUUAAGUCAGGCAACGAGCGAGACCCACGCCCACAGUUGCCAGCGUACUCUCCGGAGUGAUGGGUACACUGUGGGGACCGCCGCUGCUAAAGCGGAGGAAGGAAUGGGCAACGGUAGGUCAGUAUGCCCCGAAUAUCCCGGGCUACACGCGAGCUACAAUGGUUGGUACAAUGGGUAUCUACCCCGAGAGGGGAUGGCAAUCUCCUAAAACCAAUCUUAGUUCGGAUUGAGGGCUGCAACUCGCCCUCAUGAAGCUGGAAUCCGUAGUAAUCGCGUUUCAAC
Molecule: ribosomal RNA, 1163 nt
Filed under: uncultured archaeon
Lineage: Archaea
Description: bacterial SSU rRNA
Rfam family: Archaeal small subunit ribosomal RNA
Source: RNAcentral